GAUGAACGCUGGCGGCGUGCCUAAUACAUGCAAGUCGAGCGAACGGACGAGAAGCUUGCUUCUCUGAUGUUAGCGGCGGACGGGUGAGUAACACGUGGAGAACCUACCUAUAAGACUGGGAUAACUUCGGGAAACCGUAGCUAAUACCGGAUAAUAUUUUGAACCGCAUGGUUCAAAAGUGAAAGACGGUCUUGCUGUCACUUAUAGAUGGAUCCGCGCUGCAUUAGCUAGUUGGUAAGGUAACGGCUUACCAAGGCAACGAUGCAUAGCCGACCUGAGAGGGUGAUCGGCCACCCUGGAACUGAGACACGGUCCAGACUCCUACGGGAGGCAGCAGUAGGGAAUCUUCCGCGAUGGGCGAAAGCCUGACGGAGCAACGCCGCGUGAGUGAUGAAGGUCUUCGGAUCGUAAAACUCUGUUAUUAGGGAAGAACAUAUGUGUAAGUAACUGUGCACAUCUUGACGGUACCUAAUCAGAAAGCCACGGCUAACUACGUG
Molecule: ribosomal RNA, 497 nt
Filed under: uncultured bacterium
Lineage: Bacteria
Description: partial 16S ribosomal RNA
Rfam family: Bacterial small subunit ribosomal RNA
Source: RNAcentral